RNAcentral lists this ribosomal RNA (272 nucleotides) under Propionivibrio militaris. RNAcentral describes it as "partial 16S ribosomal RNA". It matches the Rfam family "Bacterial small subunit ribosomal RNA", at positions 237 to 503 of the family's 1533-position model. Lineage: Bacteria; Pseudomonadati; Pseudomonadota; Betaproteobacteria; Rhodocyclales; Rhodocyclaceae. The record is from RNAcentral.
CGGAUUAGCUAGUUGGUGGGGUAAAGGCUCACCAAGGCGACGAUCCGUAGCGGGUCUGAGAGGAUGAUCCGCCACACUGGGACUGAGMCACGGCCCAGACUCCUACGGGAGGCAGCAGUGGGGAAUUUUGGACAAUGGGCGCAAGCCUGAUCCAGCCAUGCCGCGUGAGUGAAGAAGGCUUCGGGUUGUAAAGCUCUUUCGGCUGGGAAGAAAUCGCACUCUCUAAUACAGGGUGUGGAUGACGGUACCAGCACAAGAAGCACGGCUACUAC